This 517-nucleotide ribosomal RNA is filed under the name Cantharellus brunneopallidus. Its description in RNAcentral is "partial small subunit ribosomal RNA". It matches the Rfam family "Bacterial small subunit ribosomal RNA", at positions 361 to 948 of the family's 1533-position model. The record is from RNAcentral. Lineage: Eukaryota; Fungi; Basidiomycota; Agaricomycetes; Cantharellales; Hydnaceae.
AUAUUAGUCAAUGCUCGCAAGAGUGAACGAGCUAACUGAAAGAAUAUACAAUCUAAAGUUAGGAAUCUUAUAAUAAAAAUUAUAAGAUUAAAGACGAAUCUAACUAACAGUGUCGUCCAAAUUCUGGUGCCAGAAGACUCGGUAAUACCAGAGACGCGAACGUUAAUCAUCUUGAAUGGGCAUAAAGGGUUUGUAGGCGGCUUAUUUAUUAAUAGGCUAGAAUCUUAGAGAGGUUAAUAAAAUACUUAGAGGAGGGCUGAUAUCCAUAGAUCCUAAGUGGAAUCCUAAUUGCGAAGGCCAUUUUCCACUACAGAUUGACGCUGAGAAACGAAGGUUAGGAUAGGAACUAGGAUUAGAGACCCUAUUACCCCUAACUGUAAACGAUGAAUGGAAGAUAUUUACAAUUGUAAGUGUCGAAGUGAAUACGAUAACCAUUCCGCCUUGCCAGUAUACUUGCAAAAGUGAAAACAAAAAAAUUAGUCGGUCCUAAAGCAAACGAAGUGAAGCAUGUUAUUUA